RNAcentral lists this ribosomal RNA (460 nucleotides) under uncultured bacterium. RNAcentral describes it as "partial 16S ribosomal RNA". It matches the Rfam family "Bacterial small subunit ribosomal RNA", at positions 338 to 795 of the family's 1533-position model. The record is from RNAcentral.
CCUACGGGCGGCAGCAGUGAGGAAUAUUGGUCAAUGGGCGCGAGCCUGAACCAGCCACGUAGCGUGAAGGAUGACUGCCCUACGGGUUGUAAACUUCUUUUAUAAAGGAAUAAAGUGAGGCACGUGUGCCUUUUUGUAUGUACUUUAUGAUUAAGGAUCGGCUAACUCCGGGCCAGCAGCCGCGGUAAUACGGAGGAUCCGAGCGUUAUCCGGAUUUAUUGGGUUUAACGGGAGCGUAGAUGGGUUGUUAAGUCAGUUGUGAAAGUUUGCGGCUCAACCGUAAGAUUGCAAUUGAUACUGGCAGCCUUGAGUACAGUUGAGGUAGGCGGAAUUCGUGGUGUAGCGGUGAAAUGCUUAGAUAUCACGAAGAACACCGAUUGCGAAGGCAGCUUACUAAGCUGCCACUGACAUUGAUGCUCGAAAGUGUGGGUAUCAAACAGGAUUAGAUACCCUAGUAGUC